GAUUAGUUCUUUCUUAUAAUAUUCUAGCAAAGCCAAGUAAAUCUAAUUUUUAAGAAUUAUUCAAUAAAGGUACAGCUUUAUUGAAAAAGGAAACAACCUAAACCUUAGGAUAAUGAAUAUUUUUAAAUAGGUAAAAGGCCAAGUUGGCCUAAAAGCAGCCAUCUUUAAAGAUAGCGUCAAAGCUUCACCUUAAACACACCUUAAAUCUCAUUAUUUUUUCAUAAUCCAACAAUUCUACUAAGCCAUUCUAUACUUUUAUAGAAAAGUUUAUGUUAGGACUAGUAACACAGAAUAAUUUCUCUUACAUGUAAGUUUAAAUCAACCCGAAUACCUCCUUGAUAAUUACUCAAAUUUGAACCUUAAGUAGUACCUAUUAAUUACAAAAACCCUACUUAACUUAUUGUUAAUCAAACAUAUGGAUAUGAAAGAAAGAUUAAAAAAUUAAGAAGGAACUCGGCAAACACAAGUCCCGCCUGUUUACCAAAAACAUCGCCUUUUGAAAAGUAUAAAAGGUAACGCCUGCCCACUGACAGUAUGUUUAACGGCCGCGGUAUUCUGACCGUGCGAAGGUAGCGUAAUCACUUGUCUUUUAAAUGAAGACUCGUAUGAAAGGCAUCACGAGAACUUAGCUGUCUCCUUAAUUCAAUCAGUGAAACUGAUACCCCUGUAAAAAAGCAGGGAUGAUUACAUAAGACGAGAAGACCCUGUGGAGCUUAAAACAUAAGCUACUUCUAUACUCUACUAACUUAUAGUACUAAAAUACAAACCUAGCCUAAGUUUUCUGUUGGGGCGGCUGUGGAGAAAAACUUAUCCUCCAUGAAGAAAAAACUUUGAUCUACCGCUCUUAGUAUUAGCAAGCCUAACUUAAAUUGAUCCAAUUUUUGAUCAACGGACCAAGUUACCCCAGGGAUAACAGCGCAAUCCAUUUCAAGAGUCCCUAUCGACAAAUGGGUUUACGACCUCGAUGUUGGAUUAGGACAUCCUAGUGGUGUAGCCGCUACUAAUGGGUUCGUUUGUUCAACGAUAAAGUCUA
Molecule: ribosomal RNA, 1033 nt
Filed under: Leptobrachium hendricksoni (spotted litter frog)
Lineage: Eukaryota; Metazoa; Chordata; Amphibia; Anura; Megophryidae
Description: partial 16S ribosomal RNA
Rfam family: Bacterial large subunit ribosomal RNA
Source: RNAcentral